CCUACGGGUGGCAGCAGUAGGGAAUAUUGCUCAAUGGCGGAAACCCUGAAGCAGCAACGCCGCGUGGAGGAUGACGGUUUUCGGAUUGUAAACUCCUUUUGUUAGAGACGAUAAUGGCGGUAUCUAACGCAUAAGCACCGUCUAAAUCCGUGCCAACAGCCGCGGUAAUACGGAGGGUGCAAGCGUUACUCGGAAUCACUGGGCGUAAAGAGCGCGUAGGCGGGAUAGCAAGUCAGAUGUGAAAUCCUCUGGCUUAAACAUAGAACUGCAUUUGAAACUGUGAUUCUAGAGUAUGGGAGAGGUAGGUGGAAUUCUUGGUGUAGGGGUAAAAUCCGUAGAGAUCAAGAGGAAUACUCAUUGCGAAGGCGACAUGCUAGAACAUAACUGACGCUGAUGCGCGAAAGCGUGGGGAGCAAACAGGAUUAGAUACCCUAGUAGUC
This 440-nucleotide ribosomal RNA is filed under the name uncultured bacterium. Its description in RNAcentral is "partial 16S ribosomal RNA". It matches the Rfam family "Bacterial small subunit ribosomal RNA", at positions 338 to 795 of the family's 1533-position model. The record is from RNAcentral.